CCUUUUCUUUGCUUUCAGAAUACUUUUGGUGCCGACCGUCUGAUCAUUAAUAAACAAUAUCCUUAAAGGGAGCGGCUACAAAAGGCAUUUUAAAUAGCACUGUGGACAGAGUGAGCAUUACACAAAACACUCAAACUGUUUAAUGACAAUUUCCCAAACACAUCUGGAAGCUAUAAAAACCAUAUAUGGCAGUUAUACAUC
This is a non-coding RNA of Pelobates cultripes (western spadefoot toad), 201 nucleotides long. Lineage: Eukaryota; Metazoa; Chordata; Amphibia; Anura; Pelobatidae. The record is from the annotation of a GenBank genome assembly.